This is a long non-coding RNA of Bombyx mandarina (wild silkworm), 699 nucleotides long. The record is from RefSeq and is a predicted model, not a curated record. NCBI's taxonomy places the organism in Eukaryota, Metazoa, Arthropoda, Insecta, Lepidoptera, Bombycidae.
AUUAAGCGAAAUGUCGCUUAAACCAAAUAACUUUUCACACCUUGAUAUAUAUAGGUGAAUAAAUCAAAAUCAUGAAGACAUUUUUCUUUUCAAAUUCGAUUAGGAGAUCUGCCAAUGUUCAGAACAUUACCGAUACCAACUAAUUUAUAAAUAAAAAUAAAUCUUUAAACCAACAAGUUUAUACAUACAUAUAUAAUACUAAUACAAUAAUAAAACUAAUAAUAUAGGAAGUAAUACAUCACACUAUGCAAUCUUUGGAUACAUUAUCUUACGCGAUGCUCUUGUUACGUAUUUUUCAUAACACGUAUAUCGCCUCGCUAAUUACAAAAUUACUUUUAUCGUAAUAUAAAUGAGGUUUUCUACUGAAAAUUACGUAAUAAGAACACCAAUCAGCCAGGAGCCAAUAAUUUGACUUCAAAACAAAAACUGUUCAAGUCAAACGAUUGACGGCUGCUGCACACCGAAACCAGUCUCAAAAAUUCAAUCGAACCGUGUCAUACACGAAUAGAGAAAUUUAAAAAUCAUUAUAAAAUGUCCAAAUCAUAUUUUAUCCUCAUCACAUGAGCCUUCUCAGUCCCACUGUUCCCCACGCAACACGAUAUCAAUUUACCGAUCCAUCUCCCGCAUAUUGGGUGCCAAUAAUAUUUAAAUGGGUACCCCAGAUCGGCGAAGCUCGCGUCAAUCCAAAAAAAAAAAAAA